CGGAGGGGCUAGCGUUGUUCGGAAAUACUGGGCGUAAAGCGCACGUAGGCGGCUCAGCAAGUCAGGGGUGAAAUCCCGGGGCUCAACCCCGGAACUGCCCUUGAAACUGCUAGGCUAGAAUCUUGGAGAGGCGAGUGGAAUUCCGAGUGUAGAGGUGAAAUUCGUAGAUAUUCGGAAGAACACCAGUGGCGAAGGCGACUCGCUGGACAAGUAUUGACGCUGAGGUGCGAAAGCGUGGGGAGCAAACAGGAUU
This 253-nucleotide ribosomal RNA is filed under the name uncultured bacterium. Its description in RNAcentral is "partial 16S ribosomal RNA". It matches the Rfam family "Bacterial small subunit ribosomal RNA", at positions 527 to 779 of the family's 1533-position model. The record is from RNAcentral.